UACAGAGGGUGCGAGCGUUGUCCGGAAUCACUGGGCGUCAAGGGCGCGUAGGCGGCCCGAUAAGUAGGGGGUGAAAUCUUGCGGCUCAACCGCAAGGCUGCCUUCUAAACUGUCGGGCUGGAGCACGGUAGAGGCAGAUGGAAUUCCCGGUGUAGCGGUGGAAUGCGUAGAGAUCGGGAAGAACACCAGUGGCGAAGGCGGUCUGCUGGGCCGUUGCUGACGCUGAGGCGCGACAGCGUGGGGAGCAAACAGG
This 253-nucleotide ribosomal RNA is filed under the name uncultured bacterium. RNAcentral's name for it is "partial 16S ribosomal RNA". It matches the Rfam family "Bacterial small subunit ribosomal RNA", at positions 524 to 776 of the family's 1533-position model. The record is from RNAcentral.